GACGAACGCUGGCGGCGUGCUUAACACAUGCAAGUCGAACGGAAAGGCCCCCAUCUUGGUGGGGGUGCUCGAGUGGCGAACGGGUGAGUAACACGUGGGUGAUCUGCCCUGUACUUCGGGAUAAGCUUGGGAAACUGGGUCUAAUACCGGAUAGGACCAUGGUUUAGUGUCUCAUGGUGGAAAGAUUAUUGUUUUGGUGCAGGAUGAGCUCGCGGCCUAUCGGCUUGUUGGUGGGGUAAUGGCCUACCAAGGCGUCGACGGGUAGCCGGCCUGAGAGGGUGGACGGCCACAUUGGGACUGAGAUACGGCCCAGACUCCUACGGGAGGCAGCAGUGGGGAAUAUUGCACAAUGGGCGCAAGCCUGAUGCAGCGACGCCGCGUGGGGGAUGACGGCCUUCGGGUUGUAAACUCCUUUCGUUAGGGACGAAACCGCACUUUUUUUGGGUGUGGUGACGGUACCUUUGUUAAGAAGCACCGGCUAACUACGUG
Molecule: ribosomal RNA, 489 nt
Filed under: uncultured bacterium
Lineage: Bacteria
Description: partial 16S ribosomal RNA
Rfam family: Bacterial small subunit ribosomal RNA
Source: RNAcentral